Molecule: long non-coding RNA, 439 nt
Organism: Pipistrellus kuhlii (Kuhl's pipistrelle)
Lineage: Eukaryota; Metazoa; Chordata; Mammalia; Chiroptera; Vespertilionidae
Exons: 3
Source: RefSeq, a predicted model, not a curated record
ACAUAAAGGAGGACAGAGAAUCUUUGAUCAGUGGUCCCCUGCACGCCACACACUGGGGAUGGAGCCUGCAAUCCAGGCAUGUGCCCUGACAGGGAUCGAACCUCGAGCUCCUGGUUUAUAUGUCAAUGCUCAACCACUGAGCCAUGCUGGCCAAGCAAGGAAGCUGUGUGUGCAGGCACCGUUGCAGGCUUUGGGUGUACAAAAGUAAAGAAGAAAGGCAGCAUGCAGCUUGUGUGGGGCUCCUCACCUGGUGGAAGAGGCGGAAGUGGGAACCAGAUUACAAAAGUGCGAUGGAAAAGGGCAGGGCAUCACGCCAGCGUGGGACAGAGGGACCCUACCAGGUCAGGAGUCAAGCUCUUAUUUGCACAGAGCUCAGCCCAGCCCCAACUUUGUUCUUCAAUGCUCACUGGCUCUGGAAGGAAAAUGUCUGGUAAGAUUU